UCACCUUUUGACUUUUCCAUUUUUCCAUUUCUUUUUUUUAUUUAUUUUUUUAUUAGUUCUUUAAUUUAAUUCUUGAUUCCGAAAUUUUCGUUUUUCCGAUUUUAUUGGGCAGUUAGGUCAGGAGUCACCUAUAGGGGUGAUUUGACUAAAUUGCCCCUCGUCGGUCUGAUCCAAUUUGCAAGUAGUUUGAUAUUUCUUCUGGAUCCCUGACCU
Molecule: unclassified non-coding RNA, 213 nt
Filed under: Hevea brasiliensis (rubber tree)
Lineage: Eukaryota; Viridiplantae; Streptophyta; Magnoliopsida; Malpighiales; Euphorbiaceae
Source: RNAcentral